GGGCACGUGUGGACCCGGGGCGCCGGUUACAGUGAUGAUCCUUUGCCCGUGGCUUCAGGAACCCGGUGUGAGUCCGGGGCGGUUCCGCCACUGUGAACCUCCAUGACGGAGGUCAGCCAGACACUGGUCUCGGGCGAUCCGACCGC
This 146-nucleotide non-coding RNA is filed under the name Nocardiopsis alba. The record is from RNAcentral. Lineage: Bacteria; Bacillati; Actinomycetota; Actinomycetes; Streptosporangiales; Nocardiopsidaceae.